RNAcentral lists this ribosomal RNA (497 nucleotides) under uncultured bacterium. RNAcentral's name for it is "partial 16S ribosomal RNA". It matches the Rfam family "Bacterial small subunit ribosomal RNA", at positions 28 to 507 of the family's 1533-position model. The record is from RNAcentral.
GAUGAACGCUGGCGGCGUGCCUAAUACAUGCAAGUCGAGCGAACAGACGAGGAGCUUGCUCCUCUGACGUUAGCGGCGGACGGGUGAGUAACACGUGGAUAACCUACCUAUAAGACUGGGAUAACUUCGGGAAACCGGAGCUAAUACCGGAUAAUAUAUUGAACCGCAUGGUUCAAUAGUGAAAGACGGUUUUGCUGUCACUUAUAGAUGGAUCCGCGCCGCAUUAGCUAGUUGGUAAGGUAACGGCUUACCAAGGCAACGAUGCGUAGCCGACCUGUGAGGGGGGAUGGGCCAAAUGGAAAUUAGAACAGGUCCAGGAUCCGAAGGGAGGGCGCAGUAGGGAAACUUCCGCAAUGGGGGAAAGCCUGGAGGGGCAACGCCGCGGGAGUGAUGAAGGUCUUCGGAUCGUAAAACUCUGUUAUUAGGGAAGAAAAAAUGUGUAAGUAAAUAUGGACGGUUUGAGGGUACCUAAUAAAAAAGCCCAGGGUAAAUACGUG